UCAACAUUUCAACCCGUGAGUUAUGCAGGCAAAGGCAACAGCAAACUUUUGCCAAAGCAGAGAAAGAUCCCACAGAGCUAAAUAAAAGUCUACAAGAAAAUCAACAAAGAGCACUGCGAAGCGAUCAGUACAAGGAGAAGGUUGUUGGUGGUUUUCCCCAUGGCAGAGAGAACGACGACGGGGCGCUCCUCGGGGAACGUCAGGAUGAGGCCGGCCACCUCAGCCAUCCUCGCGGCCGACGACACCGAGGACCCCCCGAACUUCAUCACCACGCUGAGCUGAUCCCCCAAUCCCUCCAUCCCGAGCCCUCCGAGAACAGGCGCCCCAAGGACGCCGUCCCCGCCGUCCGCUUGCUUGGCCCGACGGCUGGUGGAGUCGGCGACCACCAUUGACAACCCUCUUGCACCGCGAGGCCCGGUUCGGGUACCGAAGCACGCCAGUCCUCGAACAUGUCCAGAGCUCGCCGGAGGUAUCGACGGAACGAGGCGGCGGGGCGCGGCAGCCGAUCGCACUGGGAUUGCCAUUUCUGAGUCCUCCUGCUCUGUCGGGCGUGGAGUGGAGACUGAUGACCAGUGGUGGGGAAGGCGGGUUUAUUGUUUUACGCAAUAGGGCCAUCGAGGCGGAAACCUAUGGGAG
RNAcentral lists this unclassified non-coding RNA (636 nucleotides) under Zea mays. RNAcentral's name for it is "misc RNA Zm00001eb142520". The record is from RNAcentral. Lineage: Eukaryota; Viridiplantae; Streptophyta; Magnoliopsida; Poales; Poaceae.